Chiloscyllium plagiosum (whitespotted bambooshark) is the source of this 99-nucleotide non-coding RNA. Lineage: Eukaryota; Metazoa; Chordata; Chondrichthyes; Orectolobiformes; Hemiscylliidae. The record is from RefSeq and is a predicted model, not a curated record.
GUGGCGAGCGUUUGAAGGUGGCGAGCGUUUGAAGGUGGCGAGCGUUUGAAGGUGGCGAGCGUUUGAAGGUGGCGAGAUGGAAAAGCUUUUUUUUAAAAA